RNAcentral lists this long non-coding RNA (518 nucleotides) under Setaria viridis. RNAcentral describes it as "long non-coding RNA (SVIR_LNC001654)". Lineage: Eukaryota; Viridiplantae; Streptophyta; Magnoliopsida; Poales; Poaceae. The record is from RNAcentral.
AAAUUUUUAGUUAGAACGAAGGAUAGAAAUAGACUUGGCCGAUCUGAAUGGUGCAGCAAGCUGAUCAACACAAGUUAACCCUACCUCUGUUGGCUCUGGUUUUUGGCGGGGUUGAUAGGAAGGCUUAGGUGAAAAAGGAUUUUAACAAAUGGUUAUAAAACAAAAUAAAUCAUGAAAUGCAAUGCAAGGUGGAAAACAAUAUGAUAUGAGGAUCGUCUAAAAGAUAAAAAUUAGCCUAAAUUAACUAGCCACAAGUUUAGAAUCAAAGGGGUGGUGCCAUGCUUCAUAUUUCUCUCUAAAAAGGCACAACGAAAAAGACUCUAAACACUAAUAGCAUACAAAAAGGGGUCUAUAAGUUUUCCAAAAUCAAAUAACAAAGUACUCCCUUAAUAUUAUUUAAGCAUACAACAUGUGGUUGCAGAAUUUGUUAGAGUAAUGGUACAAUGUUACUGGAGGGUUUCAAUUAAAAAGCAUAAUAUAGACCGUCAUCUUAGUAAAGAAAAUAAAUAAAAAGACAG